UAUGGAGAAUUGAUAAGCGCUGCUUAUCAAUAAAGUUUCCGUGUUUCGUUUUGUUCAGUUUUGAGAGAACUAUCUCUCAUAUAUAAAUGUAUGUUCUUUGAAAACUAGAUAACAGUGUAGCUCAUAUUUUUUAAUUUUUAGUUUGGUUAAGUUAGAA
RNAcentral lists this unclassified non-coding RNA (157 nucleotides) under Bacillus cereus. Lineage: Bacteria; Bacillati; Bacillota; Bacilli; Caryophanales; Bacillaceae. The record is from RNAcentral.